This 506-nucleotide long non-coding RNA is filed under the name Homo sapiens (human). RNAcentral's name for it is "HSALNT0124964". The record is from RNAcentral. Lineage: Eukaryota; Metazoa; Chordata; Mammalia; Primates; Hominidae.
UUUGCCUUUGCAAGGUGAUUUUAGGUCGUCUUUUAAAGACAGAAACAUUAUGAGAUGAAAGGAACUUGGAUCUCUAAGUCACUCCUUGAGAAAACUCUUCCAAGACAAAACUGUGAACCCUGGAAAUAACACAAGAAGCAACCCAGGAAGAACUUUGAAAGAUGGGAAGAAUAUAUUCUUUCUUGGAACCCCAGGAUUUGAGGAACAAUAUAUUGGCAUAUCACCUCACGUCUUCCCACCCAACAGGAGAAGAAUAUGAAUGAUGAGCCUCCUGUAUGCAAUCCACCACAUUUGGAAACUCAAAUUUAUUCCACUGUUGAGUCCUUUCAUUCAGCUCAACUGUUUAGCAAAGAUUCUCCACAGGAACAUCUGAGCUAUUCAAUUGUAGGAGUCCAUCAACGAUGCCUUAAAAAGAGCAGGAUGAAAGUAGAAAGAAGAGAUUGGAGAAAAUGUCAUUGAGCAGCUAUUACUUUAAGAAGUGCUUUACUGAUGUUAUCCGUGCUGAU